RNAcentral lists this ribosomal RNA (680 nucleotides) under Russula fulvispora. RNAcentral's name for it is "eukaryotic LSU rRNA". The stretch from base 218 to 378 matches the Rfam family "5.8S ribosomal RNA". The record is from RNAcentral. Lineage: Eukaryota; Fungi; Basidiomycota; Agaricomycetes; Russulales; Russulaceae.
AAGUAAAAGUCGUAACAAGGUUUCCGUAGGUGAACCUGCGGAAGGAUCAUUAUCGUACAAUGGAGGUGCUGGGGUUGUCGCUGACUUUUGAAAGGGUCGUGCACACCUCGGUGCUCUCGCACAUAAUCCAUCUCACCCCUUUUGUGCAUCACCGCGUGGGGACCCCUUUUGGCUAGUUCUGAGGGGGGUUUUCACGUUUUUACACAGACACCCUUUUAAUGCAAUGUGUAGAAUGUCUUACUUUUUGCGAUCACACGCAAUCAAUACAACUUUCAACAACGAUCUCGUAUGAGAAUUGCAGAAUUCAGUGAAUCAUCGAAUCUUUGAACGCACCUUGCGCCCUUUGGCAUUCCGAGGGGCACACCCGUUUGAGUGUCGUGACAUCCUCAAAACCUUCUUGGUUUCUUGACCGGGAAGGCUUUUGGACUUUGGAGGCUUUUCUGGCCUUCCUUUGUUGGAGCCAGCUCCUCUGAAAUGAAUUAGUGGGGUCUGCUUUGCCGAUCCUUGACGUGAUAAGAUGUUUUCUACGUCUUGGGUUUCGCACUGUUCGAUCUGGAUCCUGCUUCUAACUGUCUCAUAGAAGACAAUGGUCAAGUGAUUGCCACUUGACCCACAAACCUUGACCUCAAAUCGGGUGAGACUACCCGCUGAACUUAAGCAUAUCAAUAAGCGGAGGAAGG